CAGCCGCCGCGGUAAAACGGAGGGCGCGAGCGUUACCCGGAUUUACUGGGCGUAAAGGGCGUGUAGGCGGCCUGGGGCGUCCCAUGUGAAAGGCCACGGCUCAACCGUGGAGGAGCGUGGGAUACGCUCAGGCUAGAGGGUGGGAGAGGGUGGUGGAAUUCCCGGAGUAGCGGUGAAAUGCGCAGAUACCGGGAGGAACGCCGAUGGCGAAGGCAGCCACCUGGUCCACUUCUGACGCUGAGGCGCGAAAGCGUGGGGAGCAAACCGGAUUAGAUACCCGAGUAGUCCCUGUCUCUUAUAC
RNAcentral lists this ribosomal RNA (301 nucleotides) under uncultured bacterium. RNAcentral's name for it is "partial 16S ribosomal RNA". It matches the Rfam family "Bacterial small subunit ribosomal RNA", at positions 509 to 807 of the family's 1533-position model. The record is from RNAcentral.